CUAGGAUUAGAUACCCUAUUAUUUAAAAUGUAAAAACUAAAGUAUUAAUAGUUAUGGACUUUAAACUUAAAAAAUUUGGCGGUAUUUUAGUCUAUUCAGAGGAACCUGUUUUAUAAUCGAUAUUCCACGUUGGACCUUACUUUAAUUUAUUAAUUAGUUUAUAUACCGUCGUUAUUAAAAAUUUUAUAAGAAUAAUAAUUUUUAAAAUUAUAUAUCAGAUCAAGGUGUAGCUUAUAUUAAAGAAAAUAAUGGGUUACAAUAAAAUUAUUUAUAUGAAUAUAAAUAUGAAAAAUUUAUUGAAAUAGGAUUUGAAAGUAAAAUUAAAUAGAUUAUUAAUUUGAUUUUAGCUCUAAAAUAUGUACAUAUCGCCCGUCACUCUUAUUAUUAAAAUAAGAUAAG
RNAcentral lists this ribosomal RNA (399 nucleotides) under Melaloncha ciliata. Its description in RNAcentral is "partial 12S ribosomal RNA". The record is from RNAcentral. Lineage: Eukaryota; Metazoa; Arthropoda; Insecta; Diptera; Phoridae.